UCAUUGAGUGCAGCGUUGAUGACAUCGGCAUUCGUCCUUUUCCUUCGUCUCCGACUGUCGUUUCAUUGACGCUGCACUCAAUA
This 83-nucleotide microRNA precursor is filed under the name Salvia sclarea (clary). Its description in RNAcentral is "miR397 stem-loop (ssl-MIR397)". Its record names the gene ssl-MIR397. The record is from miRBase by way of RNAcentral. Lineage: Eukaryota; Viridiplantae; Streptophyta; Magnoliopsida; Lamiales; Lamiaceae.